CUGAGUUGCAAGACUCCCAAACCCACUGUGAACCAUUACAACGAACCGUUGCCUCGGCGGGACCGCCCCGGAUCGCCCCGGAUCAGUGCCCCCGCCGGCACCCAGAAACCCAUAUCUCUGUACGUCGUGGUCAGCAACUGGCGCGAGAGCGCAUGAACAAAAUCAAUCAAUCA
This 173-nucleotide unclassified non-coding RNA is filed under the name uncultured fungus. RNAcentral's name for it is "sequence contains ITS1, 5.8S rRNA gene". Lineage: Eukaryota; Fungi. The record is from RNAcentral.